This 254-nucleotide ribosomal RNA is filed under the name uncultured bacterium. Its description in RNAcentral is "partial small subunit ribosomal RNA". It matches the Rfam family "Bacterial small subunit ribosomal RNA", at positions 26 to 286 of the family's 1533-position model. The record is from RNAcentral.
AGGACGAACGCUGGCGGCGUGCUUAACACAUGCAAGUCGAGCGGAAAGGCCCUUCGGGGUACUCGAGCGGCGAACGGGUGAGUAACACGUGAGCAACCUGCCCUCAGCUCUGGGAUAGCUCCCGGAAACGGGAAUUAAUACCGGAUACGACCCCGACCGACAUCGGUCAGGGUGGAAAGUUUUUCGGCUGAGGAUGGACUCGCGGCCUAUCAGCUAGUUGGUGGGUAACGGCCCACCAAGGCGACGACGGGUAG